CGCGUAGGUGGUUGUGUAAGUCAGAUGUGAAAUCCUCAAGGCUCAACCUGAGAACUGCAUCUGAUACUGCAUGACUCGAGUGCAGCAGAGGGAAACGGAAUUCCUGGUGUAGAGGUGAAAUUCGUAGAUAUCAGGAGGAACACCGGCGGCGAAGGCGGUUUCCUGGGCUGACACUGACACUGAGGCGCGAAAGCGUGGGUAGCAAACAGGAUUAGAUACCCUGGUAGUCCACGCUGUAAACGGUGAAUACUGGGUGUGGGAGGUGUAAUGCCUUCUGUGCCGAAGCUAACGCGUUAAGUAUUCCGCCUGGGGAGUACGGCCGCAAGGUUGAA
RNAcentral lists this ribosomal RNA (332 nucleotides) under uncultured bacterium. RNAcentral's name for it is "bacterial SSU rRNA". It matches the Rfam family "Bacterial small subunit ribosomal RNA", at positions 568 to 898 of the family's 1533-position model. The record is from RNAcentral.